This 1306-nucleotide ribosomal RNA is filed under the name bovine gut metagenome. RNAcentral describes it as "Bacterial small subunit ribosomal RNA". It matches the Rfam family "Bacterial small subunit ribosomal RNA", at positions 215 to 1532 of the family's 1533-position model. The record is from RNAcentral.
GCACUUUUAGAUGGACCUGCGGCACAUUAGCUAGUUGGUGAGAUAACAGCCCACCAAGGCGAGGAUGUGUAGCCGACCUGAGAGGGUGACCGGCCACAAUGGGACUGAGACACGGCCCAUACUCCUACGGGAGGCAGCAGUAGGGAGUUUUCGGCAAUGGGCGCAAGCCUGACCGAGCAACGCCGCGUGAGUGAGAAGGUCUUCGGAUUGAAUAGCUCUGUUACGAGGGAGAAAUAUCCGUGGUAGGAAAUGACCGCGGCUUGAUAGUACCUCGCCAGAAAGCACCGGCUAACUUCGUGCCAGCAGCCGCGGUAAUACGAAGGGUGCAAGCGUUAUCCGGAAUUAUUGGGCGUAAAGAGUGAGCAGGCGGCAUGGCAAGUCUGAGGUGAAAGCGUGGAGCUCAACUCCAUACAGCCUUGGAAACUACCAAGCUAGAGUGCUUGAGAGGUAAACGGAACUCCAUGUGUAGCGGUGAAAUGCGUAGAUAUAUGGAAGAACACCAGUGGCGAAGGCGGUUUACCAGCAAUGCACUGACGCUCAGUCACGAAAGCGUGGGGAGCAAAUAGGAUUAGAUACCCUAGUAGUCCACGCCGUAAACGAUGAUGACUAACUAUUCCUAUUAUGGAGUGGUGAAGCUAACGCAUUAAGUCAUCCGCCUGGGGAGUACGGCCGCAAGGCUGAAACUUAAAGGAAUUGACGGGACCCCGCACAAGUAGUGGAGCAUGUGGUUUAAUUCGAUGCUACGCGGAAAACCUUACCAGGGAUUGCAUAUGAUUACUACCUUCUUAGAGAUAAGAAGAGACUAUAAAUACAGGUGGUGCAUGGUUGUCGUCAGCUCGUGUCGUGAGAUGUUGGGUUAAGUCCCGCAACGAGCGCAACCCUUGUCGUUAGUUACCAGCAUUCAGUUGGGGACUCUAGCGAGACUGCCGAUGUAAAUCGGAGGAAGGUGGGGAUGACGUCAAAUCAGCAUGCCCUUUAUGUCCUGGGCUACACACGUGCUACAAUGGCGACUACAAAGAGAUGCAAUAUCGCGAGAUGGAGCUAAUCCCAUAAAGGUCGUCUCAGUUCAGAUUGGAGUCUGCAAUUCGACUCCAUGAAGGCGGAAUUACUAGUAAUCGCGGAUCAGCAUGCCGCGGUGAAUACGUUCCCGGGGUUUGUACACACCGCCCGUCAAACCAUGAGAGGUGGCAAUGCUUGAAGCCGCUGUCCUAACCGUAAGGAGGGAGGCGUCUAGGGCAGGGCUGCUGAUUGGGGUUAAGUCGUAACAAGGUAUCCCUACGGGAACGUGGGGAUGGAUCACCUCCUU